This 253-nucleotide ribosomal RNA is filed under the name uncultured bacterium. Its description in RNAcentral is "partial 16S ribosomal RNA". It matches the Rfam family "Bacterial small subunit ribosomal RNA", at positions 524 to 776 of the family's 1533-position model. The record is from RNAcentral.
UACGGGGGGGGCAAGCGUUGUUCGGAAUUACUGGGCGUAAAGGGCUCGUAGGUGGCCAACUAAGUCGGACGUGAAAUCCCUCGGCUUAACCGGGGAACUGCGUCCGAUACUGGUUGGCUUGAGUUUGGGAGAGGGAUGCGGAAUUCCAGGUGUAGCGGUGAAAUGCGUAGAUAUCAGGAGGAACACCGGUGGCGAAGGCGGGUCUCUGGGCCGAUACUGACGCUGAGGAGCGAAAGCGUGGGGAGCAAACAGG